GAGUUUGAUCCUGGCUCAGGAUGAACGCUAGCUACAGGCUUAACACAUGCAAGUCGAGGGGCAGCAUGAACUUAGCUUGCUAAGUUUGAUGGCGACCGGCGCACGGGUGAGUAACACGUAUCCAACCUGCCGAUGACUCGGGGAUAGCCUUUCGAAAGAAAGAUUAAUACCCGAUGGCAUAGUUCUUCCGCAUGGUAGAACUAUUAAAGAACUUCGGUCAUCGAUGGGGAUGCGUUCCAUUAGGUUGUUGGCGGGGUAACGGCCCACCAAGCCUUCGAUGGAUAGGGGUUCUGAGAGGAAGGCCCCCCACAUUGGAACUGAGACACGGUCCAAACUCCUACGGGAGGCGGCAGUGAGGAAUAUUGGUCAAUGGACGAGAGUCUGAACCAGCCAAGUAGCGUGAAGGAUGACUGCCCUAUGGGUUGUAAACUUCUUUUAUACGGGAAUAAAGUGAGGCACGUGUGCCUUUUUGUAUGUACCGUAUGAAUAAGGAUCGGCUAACUCCGUGCCAGCAG
This 515-nucleotide ribosomal RNA is filed under the name uncultured bacterium. Its description in RNAcentral is "bacterial SSU rRNA". It matches the Rfam family "Bacterial small subunit ribosomal RNA", at positions 9 to 514 of the family's 1533-position model. The record is from RNAcentral.